This 75-nucleotide transfer RNA is filed under the name Ruminococcaceae bacterium YAD3003. RNAcentral's name for it is "tRNA_Trp_CCA". It matches the Rfam family "tRNA". Rfam says of the family: Transfer RNA (tRNA) molecules are approximately 80 nucleotides in length. The record is from RNAcentral. Lineage: Bacteria; Bacillati; Bacillota; Clostridia; Eubacteriales; Oscillospiraceae. RNAcentral also lists the same sequence under 7 other names.
AGGGGAGUGGCUCAACGGUAGAGCAGCGGUCUCCAAAACCGCCGGUUGCGCGUUCAAAUCGUGUCUCCCCUGCCA